CUGAUGUUAGCGGCGGACGGGUGAGUAACACGUGGGUAACCUACCUAUAAGACUGGGAUAACUCCGGGAAACCGGGGCUAAUACCGGAUAAUAUUUUGAACCGCAUGGUUCAAUAGUGAAAGACGGUUUCGGCUGUCACUUAUAGAUGGACCCGCGCCGUAUUAGCUAGUUGGUAAGGUAACGGCUUACCAAGGCGACGAUACGUAGCCGACCUGAGAGGGUGAUCGGCCACACUGGAACUGAGACACGGUCCAG
This 255-nucleotide ribosomal RNA is filed under the name uncultured Staphylococcus sp. Its description in RNAcentral is "partial 16S ribosomal RNA". It matches the Rfam family "Bacterial small subunit ribosomal RNA", at positions 86 to 334 of the family's 1533-position model. Lineage: Bacteria; Bacillati; Bacillota; Bacilli; Caryophanales; Staphylococcaceae. The record is from RNAcentral.